RNAcentral lists this unclassified non-coding RNA (339 nucleotides) under soil metagenome. Its description in RNAcentral is "partial contains 5.8S ribosomal RNA, internal transcribed spacer 2, and large subunit ribosomal RNA". The stretch from base 1 to 120 matches the Rfam family "5.8S ribosomal RNA", at positions 35 to 154 of the family's 154-position model. The record is from RNAcentral.
GAUGAAGAACGCAGCGAAAUGCGAUACGUAGUGUGAAUUGCAGAAUUCAGUGAAUCAUCGAAUCUUUGAACGCACAUUGCACCUCUCGGUAUUCCGGGAGGUAUCCCUGUUCGAGCGUCAUUUGUACCCUCAAGCUCUGCUUGGUGUUGAGUGUUUGUUCCGCCUCUGUGUGUGAACUCGCCUCAAAACAAUUGGCAGCCGGCGUACUUGUUUCGGAGCGCAGCACAUUUUGCGAUCCAGAUCAACGUACAGCGGCAUCCAAGAAGCCUUAUUUAACGCUCUUGACCUCGGAUCAGGUAGGGAUACCCGCUGAACUUAAGCAUAUCAAUAAGCGGAGGA